AGUGUCGUGGGGGACAGCCUGGGGAUCCCUGGACGGCUGCGAGAAGUGAGCGGUUGGCUCGGGCUGCUUUCCUCCCUCCACCGCCUGCUUGUUUCGCCAUGCGCCGGCCGGACGGUGGGGCUGCAGCGGCGAAAGCGACUGAAGUCCGGGAGCAGUCGCAUGAGCUUCCCGGUCACCAGGAGGCCCCAGGAACAGACGCCUCACCCUGACAUUGUAGCAGGAACUUCUGGAUUGCUUUCCAAAGUGGCUGCACUGUUUUCUAUCCCCACUGGGCAGGAAAACAUCUAAGAAUGGAGGCUCCCCCUUCCCUUGCAGGGUGACCGGCAAUUAAAAAGAAGUACUAGAGAGGCAAAUAUUGGCAGUAUACAUCUAAGCACUGGUCAGAAAAGAAGGAACUCAGCCCAAGAACUUGCCCAAUCUGAUACUGGAGGUGCCACCCAAGAACCACUCCCUCCAAGAUGUUUUCCUGGAUUUCCUCAGCCUAAAGUAAUCCCUCUUUUUCCUGGCUAUACCAUCUGGAAAAGAUGACUUCUAAGGACACUGUAGCAAAGAAAAAGAGAACUGGAAGCCCAUGUGCCUUAAUCGCCUCAUCUUAGAGGGCUCGGCAGUCUGGAAAUAGAAACAAUGGUGGUGGAUCGAUUCAAUUGAUCCAGAUUUGGAAGUUGCAUGGCAGAUGAAUGUGUUUCUCACUAACUUGGGGGCCCAACUGGUAUCUCUGUGCCUGCGUGGAGUUGGACUCCGGCCAAGAGGGGAGAGACGUCCCACCUGAUUUAAGUGGCCUACUCUGUCUGGGAAUCCCGGCUCCCUGCAGAGGCCAUAGACAAACCUGAGACUGUUAUUCAGGAGGCAGUGGAGGUGACACAAGGAGAAAAGCAGGCACCGUGGCAACCAGGCAACCUCAUGUAUGAGCCAAGGAGAAGAAGCAGCAGACACCAGUGCAAGAUUGGUCUUCCACUUCCAGUCUGGACAAGAUAGCAUAGACUCAUUUCUCCCUGCUUCUCCCAGGCCCUGCCUUCCACAGGAAGGUUCUGCCAGACGUGGUGGGAGGAUCCCUUGAGCCCAGGAGUUCGAGGCUGCAGUGAGCUGUGACUGUGCUGGGAAUUGGUGAGAAUUUCAAGGUGAACUACAGGAGCAUGUGAGGAAUAACUCUGCCCAGAGAAUCCUGUUCAAAUCCCAGGGUCUGCGGCUUUUAUGUGUAGAGGAAUGGCUCUGUCAUGGCAACCUGACAACAGAGACCACACAGACAAAGACUUGACCUGCAGUUUAUCUGAAUCUUGGCAGAACUCCUUGUGAUCUUUUCGGUAUAGAAGAGGAUAAGAGGUCCCUUUUGUUUUGAUGUCAUCCUUUUUGGUGUGUGAAACAAGGACCACAGGGAGCUGGCACCUUUGGCUACACUUCUUUUCACUCUCCAUGUAAGUAAUAAACUGUCUGAAUCUUAAAA
Long non-coding RNA from Symphalangus syndactylus (siamang), 1441 nucleotides. RefSeq lists it as uncharacterized. NCBI's taxonomy places the organism in Eukaryota, Metazoa, Chordata, Mammalia, Primates, Hylobatidae. The record is from RefSeq and is a predicted model, not a curated record.